GAUGAAUGCUGGCGGCGUGCCUAACACAUGCAAGUCGAGCGGCAGCGCAGUCUUCGGACUGGCGGCGAGCGGCGGACGGCUGAGUAACGCGUGGGAACGUACCCCAAAGUGAGGAAUAACCGCCCGAAAGGGUGGCUAAUGCCGCAUAUGGUCUUCGGAUUAAAGGAUUUAUCCGCUUUGGGAACGGCCUGCGUACGAUUAGAUAGUUGGUGAGGUAAAGGCUGACCAAGUCGACGAUCGUUAACUGGUCUGAGAGGAUGAUCAGUCAGACUGGAACUGGGACACGGUCCGGACUCCUAGGGGAGGCAGCAGUGAGGAAUCUUCCACAAUGGGCGAAAGCCUGAUGGAGCAACGCCGCGUGCAGGAUGAAGGCCUUCGGGUUGUAAAGUUCUUUUGGUGGGGACGAUGAUGACGGUACCCACAGAAUAAGCUCCGGCUAACUUCGUGCCAGCCGCCGCCGUA
Molecule: ribosomal RNA, 462 nt
Filed under: uncultured bacterium
Lineage: Bacteria
Description: partial 16S ribosomal RNA
Rfam family: Bacterial small subunit ribosomal RNA
Source: RNAcentral